This 476-nucleotide ribosomal RNA is filed under the name uncultured bacterium. RNAcentral describes it as "SSU rRNA". It matches the Rfam family "Bacterial small subunit ribosomal RNA", at positions 26 to 518 of the family's 1533-position model. The record is from RNAcentral.
AGGAUAAACGCUGGCGGCGUGCAUGAGACAUGCAAGUCGAACGAACGAGCUUGCUCGUUAGUGGCAAACGGCCGAGUAACGCGUAGGUGACCUGCCCUGAAGUGGGGGAUAACGGCCCGAAAGGGUUGCUAAUACCGCAUGUGGCGACAUCUUCAUUGAUGUCAUCAAAGCCGCGAGGCGCUUCAGGAGGGGCCUGCGUCCGAUUAGCUCGUUGGUGGGGUAACGGCUCACCAAGGCGACGAUCGGUAGGUGGUCUGAGAGGACGAUCACCCAGACUGGGACUGAGACACGGCCCAGACUCCUACGGGAGGCAGCAGUGGGGAAUUUUCCGCAAUGGGCGAAAGCCUGACGGAGCAAGACCGCGUGGGGGAAGAAGGCUCUUGGGUUGUAAACCCCUUUUCUCUGGGAAGAAGUUGUGAAGCAGCCUGACGGUACAGAGGAAUCAGCAUCGGCUAACGUCCGUGCCAGCGAGCCGC